This 265-nucleotide long non-coding RNA is filed under the name Elaeis guineensis (African oil palm). RNAcentral describes it as "long non-coding RNA (EGUI_LNC075093)". Lineage: Eukaryota; Viridiplantae; Streptophyta; Magnoliopsida; Arecales; Arecaceae. The record is from RNAcentral.
GGUAACAAGUGGUAUCAGAGCCCGAUGCUCUAGUUCUUGCUUGAUUUAACCAUCAAGAGCUAAAGAUCAAUGGCAGCCUAAUUUAUCACAUCCCUAGUCGAGGGACAAUCUACAAACCGACCUCUACUUUUUAAUGGAUCAAACUAUACCUAUUGGAAAGCUCGGAUGAAAAUUUUUAUUUAAGCACUUGACUAUGACAUGUGGAGUGUCAUAAUAAAUGAACCUUACACAUCUACUAAAUUGAUUGAUGGUGUCUCUCUCCCUA